GUGCUAGAUUCCACAGCACAUUUACUGAAUUGAAAUGGUAAAGAGAAGAUAAACACGGCCUCUGUGCAAGGUAGUCAAGCAAAUCUGUGAAGCAUUUUAUAUGUUU
This 106-nucleotide small nuclear RNA is filed under the name Capra hircus (goat). Lineage: Eukaryota; Metazoa; Chordata; Mammalia; Artiodactyla; Bovidae. The record is from RNAcentral.